UACGAAGGGGCUACGCGUUGUUCGGAAUUACUGGGCGUAAAGCGCGCGCAGGCGGUCCUUUAAGUCAGGGGUGAAAGCCCAGAGCUCAACUCUGGAACUGACCUUUGAAACUAGAGGACUUGGGUACGGGAGGAGGUGAGUGGAAUUCCGAGUGUAGAGGUGAAAUUCGUAGAUAUUCGCAAGAACACCAGUGGCGAAGGCGGCUCACUGGCCCGAUAACUGACGCUGAGGCACGAAAGCGAU
RNAcentral lists this ribosomal RNA (243 nucleotides) under uncultured bacterium. RNAcentral's name for it is "partial 16S ribosomal RNA". It matches the Rfam family "Bacterial small subunit ribosomal RNA", at positions 524 to 763 of the family's 1533-position model. The record is from RNAcentral.